Molecule: ribosomal RNA, 429 nt
Filed under: Chloroflexota bacterium
Lineage: Bacteria; Bacillati; Chloroflexota
Description: Chloroflexi bacterium partial 16S ribosomal RNA
Rfam family: Bacterial small subunit ribosomal RNA
Source: RNAcentral
UGGGGAAUAUUGCACAAUGGGCGCAAGCCUGAUGCAGCCAUGCCGCGUGUAUGAAGAAGGCCUCCGGGUUGUAAAGCACUUUCAGCGGGGAGGAAGGCGAUAAGGUUAAUAACCUCAUCGAUUGACGUUACCCGCAGAAGAAGCACCGGCUAACUCCGUGCCAGCAGCCGCGGUAAUACGGAGGGUGCAAGCGUUAAUCGGAAUUACUGGGAUUAAAGCGCACGCAGGCGGUUUGUUAAGUCAGAUGUGAAAUCCCCGGGCUCAACCUGGGAACUGCAUCUGAUACUGGCAAGCUUGAGUCUCGUAGAGGGGGGUAGAAUUCCAGGUGUAGCGGUGAAAUGCGUAGAGAUCUGGAGGAAUACCGGUGGCGAAGGCGGCCCCCUGAACGAAGACUGACGCUCAGGUGCGAAAGCGUGGGGAGCAAACAGG